GGGUGAGUAAUAUAUCGGAACGUACCGAGUAAUGGGGGAUAACUAAUCGAAAGAUUAGCUAAUACCGCAUAUUCUCUGAGGAGGAAAGCAGGGGACCUUCGGGCCUUGCGUUAUUCGAGCGGCCGAUAUCUGAUUAGCUGGUUGGUGGGGUAAAGGCCUACCAAGGCGACRAUCAGUAGCGGGUCUGAGAGGAUGAUCCGCCACACUGGGACUGAGACACGGCCCAGACUCCUACGGGAGGCAGCAGUGGGGAAUUUUGGACAAUGGGCGCAAGCCUGAUCCAGCCAUGCCGCGUGUCUGAAGAAGGCCUUCGGGUUGUAAAGGACUUUUGUCAGGGAAGAAAAGGCUGUUGCUAAUAUCGACAGUUGAUGACGGUACCUGAAGAAUAAGCACCGGCUAACUACGUGCCAGCAGCCGCGGUAAUACGUAGGGUGCGAGCGUUAAUCGGAAUUACUGGGCGUAAAGCGAGCGCAGACGGUUACUUAAGCAGGAUGUGAAAUCCCCGGGCUUAACCUGGGAACUGCGUUCUGAACUGGGUGACUAGAGUGUGUCAGAGGGAGGUAGAAUUCCACGUGUAGCAGUGAAAU
Molecule: ribosomal RNA, 587 nt
Filed under: Neisseria perflava
Lineage: Bacteria; Pseudomonadati; Pseudomonadota; Betaproteobacteria; Neisseriales; Neisseriaceae
Description: bacterial SSU rRNA
Source: RNAcentral